UUAAGCGACUAAGCGUACACGGUGGAUGCCCUGGCAGUCAGAGGCGAUGAAGGACGUGCUAAUCUGCGAUAAGCGUCGGUGAGGUGAUAUGAACCGUUAUAACCGGCGAUUUCCGAAUGGGGAAACCCAGUGUGUUUCGACACACUAUCAUUAACUGAAUCCAUAGGUUAAUGAGGCGAACCGGGGGAACUGAAACAUCUAAGUACCCCGAGGAAAAGAAAUCAACCGAGAUUCCCCCAGUAGCGGCGAGCGAACGGGGAGGAGCCCAGAGCCUGAAUCAGUGUGUGUGUUAGUGGAAGCGUCUGGAAAGGCGCGCGAUACAGGGUGACAGCCCCGUACACAAAAAUGCACAUAUUGUGAGCUCGAUGAGUAGGGCGGGACACGUGGUAUCCUGUCUGAAUAUGGGGGGACCAUCCUCCAAGGCUAAAUACUCCUGACUGACCGAUAGUGAACCAGUACCGUGAGGGAAAGGCGAAAAGAACCCCGGCGAGGGGAGUGAAAAAGAACCUGAAACCGUGUACGUACAAGCAGUGGGAGCCUCUUAAUGGGGUGACUGCGUACCUUUUGUAUAAUGGGUCAGCGACUUAUAUUCUGUAGCAAGGUUAACCGAAUAGGGGAGCCGAAGGGAAACCGAGUCUUAACUGGGCGUUAAGUUGCAGGGUAUAGACCCGAAACCCGGUGAUCUAGCCAUGGGCAGGUUGAAGGUUGGGUAACACUAACUGGAGGACCGAACCGACUAAUGUUGAAAAAUUAGCGGAUGACUUGUGGCUGGGGGUGAAAGGCCAAUCAAACCGGGAGAUAGCUGGUUCUCCCCGAAAGCUAUUUAGGUAGCGCCUCGUGAAUUCAUCUCCGGGGGUAGAGCACUGUUUCGGCAAGGGGGUCAUCCCGACUUACCAACCCGAUGCAAACUGCGAAUACCGGAGAAUGUUAUCACGGGAGACACACGGCGGGUGCUAACGUCCGUCGUGAAGAGGGAAACAACCCAGACCGCCAGCUAAGGUCCCAAAGUCAUGGUUAAGUGGGAAACGAUGUGGGAAGGCCCAGACAGCCAGGAUGUUGGCUUAGAAGCAGCCAUCAUUUAAAGAAAGCGUAAUAGCUCACUGGUCGAGUCGGCCUGCGCGGAAGAUGUAACGGGGCUAAACCAUGCACCGAAGCUGCGGCAGCGACACUAUGUGUUGUUGGGUAGGGGAGCGUUCUGUAAGCCUGUGAAGGUGGCCUGUGAGGGUUGCUGGAGGUAUCAGAAGUGCGAAUGCUGACAUAAGUAACGAUAAAGCGGGUGAAAAGCCCGCUCGCCGGAAGACCAAGGGUUCCUGUCCAACGUUAAUCGGGGCAGGGUGAGUCGACCCCUAAGGCGAGGCCGAAAGGCGUAGUCGAUGGGAAACAGGUUAAUAUUCCUGUACUUGGUGUUACUGCGAAGGGGGGGCGGAGAAGGCUAUGUUGGCCGGGCGACGGUUGUCCCGGUUUAAGCGUGUAGGCUGGUUUUCCAGGCAAAUCCGGAAAACCAAGGCUGAGGCGUGAUGACGAGGCACUACGGUGCUGAAGCGACAAAUGCCCUGCUUCCAGGAAAAGCCUCUAAGCAUCAGGUAACAUCAAAUCGUACCCCAAACCGACACAGGUGGUCAGGUAGAGAAUACCAAGGCGCUUGAGAGAACUCGGGUGAAGGAACUAGGCAAAAUGGUGCCGUAACUUCGGGAGAAGGCACGCUGAUAUGUAGGUGAAGCGACUUGCUCGUGGAGCUGAAAUCAGUCGAAGAUACCAGCUGGCUGCAACUGUUUAUUAAAAACACAGCACUGUGCAAACACGAAAGUGGACGUAUACGGUGUGACGCCUGCCCGGUGCCGGAAGGUUAAUUGAUGGGGUUAGCGGCAACGCGAAGCUCUUGAUCGAAGCCCCGGUAAACGGCGGCCGUAACUAUAACGGUCCUAAGGUAGCGAAAUUCCUUGUCGGGUAAGUUCCGACCUGCACGAAUGGCGUAAUGAUGGCCAGGCUGUCUCCACCCGAGACUCAGUGAAAUUGAACUCGCUGUGAAGAUGCAGUGUACCCGCGGCAAGACGGAAAGACCCCGUGAACCUUUACUAUAGCUUGACACUGAACAUUGAGCCUUGAUGUGUAGGAUAGGUGGGAGGCUUUGAAGUGUGGACGCCAGUCUGCAUGGAGCCGACCUUGAAAUACCACCCUUUAAUGUUUGAUGUUCUAACGUUGGCCCGUAAUCCGGGUUGCGGACAGUGUCUGGUGGGUAGUUUGACUGGGGCGGUCUCCUCCUAAAGAGUAACGGAGGAGCACGAAGGUUGGCUAAUCCUGGUCGGACAUCAGGAGGUUAGUGCAAUGGCAUAAGCCAGCUU
Molecule: ribosomal RNA, 2342 nt
Filed under: Escherichia coli KTE224
Lineage: Bacteria; Pseudomonadati; Pseudomonadota; Gammaproteobacteria; Enterobacterales; Enterobacteriaceae
Description: bacterial LSU rRNA
Rfam family: Bacterial large subunit ribosomal RNA
Source: RNAcentral